Gorilla gorilla gorilla (western lowland gorilla) is the source of this 248-nucleotide unclassified non-coding RNA. It matches the Rfam family "Metazoan signal recognition particle RNA". From Rfam's summary of the family: The signal recognition particle (SRP) is a universally conserved ribonucleoprotein. It is involved in the co-translational targeting of proteins to membranes. NCBI's taxonomy places the organism in Eukaryota, Metazoa, Chordata, Mammalia, Primates, Hominidae. The record is from Ensembl.
GCCAGGCACCAUGGCAUGCUCCUGUAGUCCCAUCUACUUGGGAGGCUGAGGCAGGAGGAUUGCUGGAGGGCUUGAGCCCAGGAGUUCUGGGCUCCCAGGAGCAGGGGACCACCAGGUUGCCUAAAGAGGGGUGAGCGAACACAGAUUGGAAAUGGAGCAGGUCAAAACUCUUAUGCUGAUCAGUAGUGGGAUUGCAUCUGAAUAGCCAUUGCACUCUAGCCUGGGCAACAUAGUGAGACCCUGUCUCU